Molecule: ribosomal RNA, 337 nt
Filed under: Escherichia coli
Lineage: Bacteria; Pseudomonadati; Pseudomonadota; Gammaproteobacteria; Enterobacterales; Enterobacteriaceae
Also listed under: 1 other name
Description: partial 16S ribosomal RNA
Rfam family: Bacterial small subunit ribosomal RNA
Source: RNAcentral
AAAUUGAAGAGUUUGAUCAUGGCUCAGAUUGAACGCUGGCGGCAGGCCUAACACAUGCAAGUCGAACGGUAACAGGAAGCAGCUUGCUGCUUCGCUGACGAGUGGCGGACGGGUGAGUAAUGUCUGGGAAACUGCCUGAUGGAGGGGGAUAACUACUGGAAACGGUAGCUAAUACCGCAUAAUGUCGCAAGACCAAAGAGGGGGACCUUCGGGCCUCUUGCCAUCGGAUGUGCCCAGAUGGGAUUAGCUUGUUGGUGGGGUAACGGCUCACCAAGGCGACGAUCCCUAGCUGGUCUGAGAGGAUGACCAGCCACACUGGAACUGAGACACGGUCCAG